Molecule: ribosomal RNA, 253 nt
Filed under: uncultured bacterium
Lineage: Bacteria
Description: partial 16S ribosomal RNA
Rfam family: Bacterial small subunit ribosomal RNA
Source: RNAcentral
CACGUAGGGCGCAAGCGUUGUCCGGAAUUAUUGGGCGUAAAGAGCUUGUAGGCGGUUUGUCGCGUCUGCUGUGAAAUCUCAAGGCUCAACCUUGAGCUUGCAGUGGGUACGGGCAGACUAGAGUGUGGUAGGGGAGACUGGAAUUCCUGGUGUAGCGGUGAAAUGCGCAGAUAUCAGGAGGAACACCGAUGGCGAAGGCAGGUCUCUGGGCCACUACUGACGCUGAGAAGCGAAAGCAUGGGGAGCGAACAGG